Long non-coding RNA from Gallus gallus (chicken), 3908 nucleotides. NCBI's taxonomy places the organism in Eukaryota, Metazoa, Chordata, Aves, Galliformes, Phasianidae. The record is from Ensembl.
GUGAAAAUAGGAGAACCAUGAGCAAUAUUUACAAUAAUGAUAUAUCCAACUCAGGAAAUUGCUACAACUGCCUUUAUCAAAAUAAACAAACCCCGUAUUUUUUUCCUCCCGUAAGAGAAAAGCAAAAUCCUCCACUAUUAAAAUUAAUUUGGCUUGGUAUCUGUUUGGUAUUUGGAUCCGACCGCCUUAUUCCCCAUUUUUGGCCUCAUUUGGACAAAAAAAAAAAGAAAAAAAAAAGAAAAACACAAACCCACAACAAACAGAGGCCCAAACCGACACACACACACACACACACACACACACACACACACACAGCCCCAGCUGCCUCGCUCUGUCUCACAGGAGCACACACGCAGCCCCGCUCCAAGCUGACUCUGGCCACGGGGCACGGUGAGGCACGAAACCACCGCCCCGGGGCACCAGCUUGGUGUGGGAGUGUUGGAUCACUGCCUGCUCGGCACCGCACAACUGCACACCCAGAGCCGGGCGGUUCCAGGGGCACCGGCCCUGCGGAUCACCCCAUCCCGGGGCUUGGGCUUGCUGGGUGCCAGCCCCAGCAUCGCACGCUGGUUCCAAGUUUACUGAAGCAUGCUGCAGCCUUUGCUGCUGUGCCCAGUUUGCAGAUGGACUUUGUGCCAUCAAAAGGGAGAAGGUUUUUUUGGUUUUUUGUUUUGAUUUGUUUUGUUUUGUUUUAGAAUAUGCCAUUUCAAAGUAAAUUGAUUUCUUCUACUGAAAAAGUUUUUAGGAUUAAAGAGCCCUCGCUGCAUACAGAAAAACAUUUCUCCUAUUCCAACUCUUUCUGUGCUCAAAUGCCUCUUUCCUAGGCGUGUCCUAAAACGCAGAGGUAUGUCGCAGUCAUUCUAAAAGUUGUUUGAAACGUUAAGGUGAGGCUGGGCUUCUGCUAAAGGGUGAGACCCCCAGGGCCAGGAUCGCUGCCCUCCAGCGGGAUGCUGCCCACCUGCGCUGGCCCAGAAGAAGCACCAGGAGCUCAAAAGCACGGCCACCCCUCUGGGGGCAUCCCCAGAGAACCCGCAGCCACCCUUCCCGGGGCCGCAUCAGCUGCCCCUCUGCAGGUGACCACAGCGCCUUUGGGACCCCACGUCCUAAAGCUGGAGGUCUGAGCUCCAGGAGGAGAGGCAGUGUGAAGCCAUGAGAGCACUGGAGGUCUAUCAACAAAGUAUUAAUGUAGAAGCCCGAGUGAAAAGCAGAAAAGAAAAGAAAAAAAAAAAAAAAAAGAAAGAAAGAAAAGAAAAAAGCAAUCAAUGAAUGCCAUUCCCCAGCUAAGAGACGAGCCACCAAUUCUUGGCACAGCGAUAGAGAAAACCUUGAAAAGUUUCGCUCGGGUUCUGGAAUAAAGCUUUGGAUAAAAUGGAGCAAGUAGUUUGCGCGGUCGUCGUGCCAGUGAAUAGAUCUGCUGCUCUGGAUUUCAAUUAACUUAGUUUGUUCAGCGGGGAGGCACUUCAGCUGCAACCGGGGAGCUGCAAGUUAAAGGACAGCGAGAAAAACAGCGCAACAACAGCCAGAAAAACCUGUUGGCAGCAGAAGUUUGCACCGGCUGCAAGCAAAAUCAAAUCACAUCAAAUCAGGGGGUUUUAAAGAAAUCUUUUAAAGGCUUUGAAGGUUUCGGAGGAUCUCCGAGGCAGUCCCAGGUGGGCUGGGAAUACUGCUUUAUGCACCUCUUUGUGCUAAGAGGAAGGCCUAACGCAUUUGUUUUUUUGUUUGAAGAAGUCAGCCUCUCGCUAUUAAAUCAAUUAUUUUCUCUUUAAAAAGGUGAUCGUCGCUGUGGAGAGACCUCCACCGAUCAGCGUCCAUUUUACAUAAUUACUUCGGGUUCUCCAGAACAUUUUAUGUAACUCACUUCCACGGCUGCCUCUGUCCUUUCUCCUCUCUCUCCGUCACCGGCAGAGCAGCAGCUCAGCCCUCCGCCAGCACUGACAGGAGCUCACAUAAAAGGACCAUUUCGAAUGGAUCACUGGGAGCAGCCCCGAGAACCCACAGGAAACGUGGGCUCCGAAACUCGACAGUGCUCAGCGGGCGACGAAACGCAUCACACAUCCCUCCCCAGCCAAAUAUGUGUAUGCAUAUAUAUAAACAUAUACAUAUAAUAAGGAUUAAUUCGGAGGAAAGCUCCGAGGUUUGAAACGACAAAUAAGCAGGGAUAUUUGCGCGAGGAAAAAAAAAAAAUGGUAAAUAAAUAGUUACUGGUGCUGGACAAAAUGGCUCGAUAGGUUUCAUAAUUUGCCACCGCUGUAAAAAAUAUCCCCUCCCUUCCCCCUGCCGUCCCCGCCGGCACGGACGGAAGCGCGGAGCGGAGGGUGGGGGGCAGCCGAGGAUACCAACUCCCUCCGCCAAAGUUUGGGUCCUUCCGAACCCGGCGAUGCCUCCAUAACGUGACAUCAGCUCCGAGAGACAAAAGUUGAGAUCUGCGUCUCCUUUCUGCCCGGGAAAGGAAACUGGAAAAAUACUAAUAAUGAAAAAUAGACGUUAAAAAUACCCGAGAGGAAAAAGUCGACGGACGAUCACCCGAAUUAACCCCCUCCGCCCCCGCAGGCAAACAGACAAACGACAAAACCUCCGGCUAAAGCCCCGUCGGGAGGAGUGGAACCUGCUUUCUCCGCUUUCUCUUUUCUGCUUUUAUUUAACGUAUGGCGAGCCUGGACUUCAAACUUAUAGCCGACACACGGCCACACAACAAAGAGUCCCCGUUCACCCCCGUCGCCGGCGCUGCGGGCAGAAGUCGUCGGCAAAUAGUAAUAAAAGCCAUUUAGCGGUGCAACGCAUCCAGCGCGCCGUGUUCCGCGAGCAGACAUAAAUCUCUCACGACGCUCUCCCAAACAGGCCAAGGGUAGUUCACAUAGAGGGCUGGCUUCGCACACGCUCACCCCGCUCCUCGUAUUCUUUGGAUGGAGGAAGGCUGGCAGCAAGGUGCACAGACAAAAGACCGGGGAGCCAACGCACGCAAUCACUCGCUGCUACAUCUUCACGUAUUUUUACAAUACGCUCUCCUAUCCACACCGCUUCCAAAAUAAUUUUCAGCCAGCCCUGCCUCUCGUCGCACGUAAACUUACGCCGUCACAGGAAUUCUGUUGACUCUCAUGAUGACAUAUGAAAGUGGCAAAACGAGGUUUUGCGCCCGGAUUUCGCCUUCAGACAAAGCUCCCCCAGCAACUUCAUCAGCAGGGAAUUAUAGUUUCACCCGGAGAAACUGGGUCCAAGGGAAAAAGAAAAUAAAAGUUAAGUGGUAUUGCCAUGGCUAUGCUAUGAAUCAUAGAUUCACAGAAUCACAGAGUCAUUGAAUCACAGAAGGGUUGGGUUAGAAGGGACCUGGAAGCCCAUCCGGCUCCAAGCCUGUGCUGUGGGCAGGGCUGCCCCAAAGCAGCUCAGGCUGCUCAGGGCCCCAUCCAACCUGGCCUUGAGCACCUGUAGGGAUGUGGAAAAUCAGUGGACAAACAAACGAGGAUCCAAAUCUUUUGAUGUUGAAUGGAGAAUUUACCUCAAGUAACUCAGAGUCAACUAAAAGUUAAGCGUCCUGUCUGAAGCAGUCGCAUAGGCUCUCCGUGUUGUUGGUGGAGAGACAGGCACCUCCAAAAAGCCCUUCCACCCAGCUUCCCAUGCCCCUAAAUGAGGAGGGAGCCUACAGAACACAAUGAGUGCCAGAUUUGGAGAGAGCCUGCUCACCAUCACCUCCUCUCAAGUAUGUGAGCAGUUGGUGCUAAUGCACUUGGUUCACCUGCAAGAAGAGGGAAGACUCAGAGCCCUAAGAACAUGCUGAUCUUCAAGAGCAAAUGGGAAACAGGGAAAGUCAAACUCUUCCCCAGACCUGAUACGGCUGCGCAAGUUUUUGUUGCACAUGACAAGAUUCUGGAUGACAGACUGGGAGGGAAGGAAUGUGCUUCAGUGCCAAAUAA